UCCCUCCGUGGGGACACGAGGAAGCAAGGUCCCAAAGUGGGGACGUUUUAAUUUUAUCUUAGCAAAGAAAGCUCACGCCUCAGGAAGUGGCGCGAGGGUUAUGAACUGUCUUCAAGGGACAGUCGCUGUGACAGAUGCGAAAAGGCAGCCUGGGUCGUGGGGGGAGUGACAGUGAUAUUUGCAUUGUCGUAAAGUGGAGUUGACCUGCGAAAGUGAUUUUUAUGAAUAUUUUACCCUGAAUAAAACACACGGGAAGAAUGCUAAACUGGUAGGAUUCGAGUUCGGCCCUGGCUAACGAGCUGAUUCAGAGCGGGAAAUGACCUUUACUGAGUCUAGAUAGGAAACUUCCGGGCAAGAAAGUAGAAGCCAGGUCUAGGGUACCAGACUCCGCGCUUCCCGCCUCCGAGAGGUGGUUAGUCCUCCUCAGAGUGCAGUCUUCUUGUUCUCCGCAUUUCCCCCUCCGGUGCUGAUGCUUUUCGUUUCCGCGUCCAAACGUCCUGCAUUUCUGCUGUCGCCCGGCUGGCCGAACGCUCGCCCUCUCUGGGUGGGGCCUCAUCUCCGGUGGGCUUGUGCAGCCUUCGGAGAUGGUUCCGGACAUUUCUUACGAGUGUAAAGUUUUGGAGCACUUGAGGAUGCAUUUGUAAAUAUGCACUUAGCCUAUUUUAAAAACAGCUAGAACUUUCAAAUCAAACGAAUUAAAAGAGGACCCGAGGAAGUCCAAUUUAAUAAUGACAGUCAGGCCUAAGUCAAGUGACACCACCAAGGAAGAUAUUUACUGCGCGUGAAUGGUGAAAGCAAGUAAGGAGAGGAAAGCCGAGUGGAGUGGAGAAAGCCCUUCGCCGCCCUGUGCCGAGGGCGUCGCAUUGCGGGAGAGGUGAGCCCAGGGGUAAACUAGCCUCCCAUCAUGAGCAGCCCACGAGGCAGCUGAGGAAUCCCGAGCUCCUCAGAACUCGGGAGCCUGAGUCGCUUCCUGACUGGUGAGCACACCUUCUUGAAGAAUGACACUGGCGCGUACUUACGCGCUGAAAAGACACAGUAAGGACGAGCGGCAGUCUCAGGAUGCAGCAGAGCUACUGUACGUGAAGCCUUCCAGCUCCAGGCGGGUGUAGGUCCUCGACACCGGCUGUUCUUGCGGCGAGAGUCUGGUUGUGCAGAGCCCCGACUGCGGGUGGGAAAGAAUGGCGGAGACCGGGGAGGACCCUGAGAGCUGGAGUCCGUUGGCACACCUUCCGAGGGGCCAGGAGCAGCCCUUAGGUUCCGCAGCGCUGCAGCAGUUGUGGCGCUCGGAGCAGAGGGAGAUUUGGUAGGAGCGCGUGGAAGGAACAGCAUGAGACGCACAAGGCCCCGAGGGCAGGAAGCCAGCCGGGAAGCCUCAGUCUCUCCUCUGAAAACUGUGCCCUGCAAGUCCUCUCUCAGAGGUGCUUUUCGACGGCUACAUUAUGUCGAAGACAGGAAUGAUACAACCAUAUUUAAAAAAUACCAGGAGUGAGAAUGCGUCCCUGAGACAGGGCUCCAGGACAAUGUGCAGAUAAAAAUUGUCAGCCUCUCCCGCGUCUGACCCAUGCCACACAACUCAGUCUGAAGUCCAAGAACAAACCAGAUAAAACACUGAAGGUCAGUGUAUCUUUACCUCCCACUCUGAGUUCACAAACGCAAGGGAGC
This is a long non-coding RNA of Chinchilla lanigera (long-tailed chinchilla), 1662 nucleotides long. RefSeq lists it as uncharacterized. The record is from RefSeq and is a predicted model, not a curated record. The transcript has 3 exons. Lineage: Eukaryota; Metazoa; Chordata; Mammalia; Rodentia; Chinchillidae.